RNAcentral lists this transfer RNA (75 nucleotides) under Gemmatimonadaceae bacterium. RNAcentral describes it as "tRNA-Ile". It matches the Rfam family "tRNA". From Rfam's summary of the family: Transfer RNA (tRNA) molecules are approximately 80 nucleotides in length. Their secondary structure includes four short double-helical elements and three loops (D, anti-codon, and T loops). The record is from RNAcentral. Lineage: Bacteria; Pseudomonadati; Gemmatimonadota; Gemmatimonadia; Gemmatimonadales; Gemmatimonadaceae.
AGGCCGGUAGCUCAGGGGUAGAGCGCGAGCCUUAUAAGCUCGUGGACGCGGGUUCGAGUCCCGCCCGGCCUACCA